AUGGCCGAACGGGCCAAUCUGGUCUUUCAUAAUAAAGAGAUAGACGGAACUGGUAUGAAACGACUUAUUAGAAGAUUAAUAGAUCAUUUCGGAAUGGGAUAUACAUCCCAUAUACUGGAUCAACUAAAGACUCCUAGCUUCCAUGAAGCCACUACUACAUCGAUUUCGUUAGGAAUCGAGGAUCUUUUAACAAUACCCUCUAAGGGAUGGUUAGUCCAAGACGCGGAACAAGAAAGUUUUCUUUUGGAGAAACACUAUUAUUAUGGGGCUGUACACACUGUAGAAAAAUUACGCCAAUCUAUUGAGAUAUGGUAUGCGACAAGUGAAUAUUUGAAACAAGAGAUGAAUUCAAAUUUUCGGAUAACGGAUCCUUAA
This 375-nucleotide ribosomal RNA is filed under the name Triticum aestivum (bread wheat). RNAcentral describes it as "partial small subunit ribosomal RNA". The record is from RNAcentral. Lineage: Eukaryota; Viridiplantae; Streptophyta; Magnoliopsida; Poales; Poaceae.